UAGGGAAUCUUCCGCAAUGGGCGAAAGCCUGACGGAGCAACGCCGCGUGAAUGAUGAAGGUCUUCGGAUCGUAAAACUCUGUUAUUAGGGAAGAACAAAUGUGUAAGUAACUAUGCACGUCUUGACGGUACCUAAUCAGAAAGCCACGGCUAACUACGUGCCAGCAGCCGCGGUAAUACGUAGGUGGCAAGCGUUAUCCGGAAUUAUUGGGCGUAAAGCGCGCGUAGGCGGUUUUUUAAGUCUGAUGUGAAAGCCCACGGCUCAACCGUGGAGGGUCAUUGGAAACUGGAAAACUUGAGUGCAGAAGAGGAAAGUGGAAUUCCAUGUGUAGCGGUGAAAUGCGCAGAGAUAUGGAGGAACACCAGUGGCGAAGGCGACUUUCUGGUCUGUAACUGACGCUGAUGUGCGAAAGCGUGGGGAUCAAACAGG
This 429-nucleotide ribosomal RNA is filed under the name Actinomycetes bacterium. RNAcentral's name for it is "Actinobacteria bacterium partial 16S ribosomal RNA". It matches the Rfam family "Bacterial small subunit ribosomal RNA", at positions 355 to 776 of the family's 1533-position model. Lineage: Bacteria; Bacillati; Actinomycetota; Actinomycetes. The record is from RNAcentral.